Long non-coding RNA from Oncorhynchus keta (chum salmon), 275 nucleotides. RefSeq lists it as uncharacterized. The transcript is spliced from 3 exons. The record is from RefSeq and is a predicted model, not a curated record. Lineage: Eukaryota; Metazoa; Chordata; Actinopteri; Salmoniformes; Salmonidae.
UAGGUCCUAGUUAUACUAUAGGUCCUAGUUAUAGUCACUACUAUAGGUCCUAGUUAUACUAUAGGUCCUAGUUAUAGUCACUACUAUAGGUCCUAGUUAUACUAUAGGUCCUAGUUAUAGUCACUACUAUAGGUCCUAGUUAUAGUCACUACUAUAGGUCCUAGUUAUAGUCACUACUAUAGGUCCUAGUUAUAGUCACUACUAUAGGUCCUAGUUAUAGUCACUACUAUAGGUCCUAGUUAUAGUCACUACCAUAGGUCCUAGUUAUAGUCACU